This 466-nucleotide ribosomal RNA is filed under the name uncultured bacterium. RNAcentral's name for it is "partial 16S ribosomal RNA". It matches the Rfam family "Bacterial small subunit ribosomal RNA", at positions 28 to 507 of the family's 1533-position model. The record is from RNAcentral.
GAUGAACGCUGGCGGCGCGCCUAAUACAUGCAAGUCGAACGAGCGAGCGAGAGCUUUCCUUCUCGAGCGUGAGGCGCACGCGUGAGUAACGCGCGUGGAACCCGUCUCUAUGAGGGGGACAACAGUUGGAAACGACGGCGAUUAUCGCAGAUGCCCACGGUGACGCAUGGCUCAGAGGGAAAAGGAGGAAUCUGCUUUGAGAUGGCCUCGCGUCCGAUUAGCUUGUUGGUGAGGUAACGGCACACCAAGGCGACGAUAGGUAGCCGGACAGUGAGGGUGAGCGGCCACCUUGGGGGUGAGACACGGCCCAGACUCCUACGGGAGGCAGCAGUGGGGAAUAUUGCACAAUGGGGGAAACCCUGAUGCAGCGACGCCGCGUAGAGGAAGAAGGUCUUCGGAUUGUAAACUCCUGUUGUUGGGGAAGAUAAUGACGGUACCCAACAAGAAAGUGACGGCUAACUACGUG